RNAcentral lists this transfer RNA (78 nucleotides) under Pseudomonas lactucae. RNAcentral's name for it is "tRNA-Glu". It matches the Rfam family "tRNA". From Rfam's summary of the family: Transfer RNA (tRNA) molecules are approximately 80 nucleotides in length. Their secondary structure includes four short double-helical elements and three loops (D, anti-codon, and T loops). The record is from RNAcentral. Lineage: Bacteria; Pseudomonadati; Pseudomonadota; Gammaproteobacteria; Pseudomonadales; Pseudomonadaceae.
GUCCCCUUCGUCUAGUGGCCUAGGACACCCGCCCUUUCACGGCGGUAACCAGGGGUUCGAGUCCCCUAGGGGACGCCA